GCUGGGCAUGGUGGCUCAUGCCUGUAGUUCCAGCUAUUCGGGAGGCUAAAGUGGGAGGAUCACUUGAGUCCAGGAGUUCUGGGCUGCAGUGCGCUAUGCCAAUUGGGUGUCUGCACUAAGUUCGGCAUCAAUAUGGUGACCUCCCCGGAGCAGGGGACCACCAGGUUGCCUAAGGAGGGGUGAACCGGCCCAGGUUGGAAACGGAGCAGGUCAAAACUCCCGUGCUGAUCAGUAGUGGGAUUGCGCCUGUGAAUAGCCACUGCACUCCAGCCUGGGCAAUAUAGUGAGACCCUGUCUCU
RNAcentral lists this signal recognition particle RNA (299 nucleotides) under Cavia porcellus (domestic guinea pig). RNAcentral's name for it is "Metazoan signal recognition particle RNA (ENSCPOG00000037712.1)". It matches the Rfam family "Metazoan signal recognition particle RNA". Rfam says of the family: The signal recognition particle (SRP) is a universally conserved ribonucleoprotein. The record is from RNAcentral. Lineage: Eukaryota; Metazoa; Chordata; Mammalia; Rodentia; Caviidae.